Molecule: non-coding RNA, 115 nt
Organism: Acanthosepion pharaonis
Lineage: Eukaryota; Metazoa; Mollusca; Cephalopoda; Sepiida; Sepiidae
Source: the annotation of a GenBank genome assembly
UUACGAUUAUAUCACAUUGACACACCGGCUCCCGUACGAUCACCAAAGUUAAGCAACGUCGAGAUUGAUCAGUACCUAUGUUGGGUGAUCAGUUGAGAAUACCAGGUGCUGUAAG